GUCAUCAAACACUUGAUCUUCUUUUUAAAUUCAAGCUCCACACGUGCUUUAAAUAUUUUAAAAACUACAAAUACAUCUUCCUUCCUUUUGAUUGGAUACACCCAACAUCUUCUGAAGUAAUCAUCAACAAAAGAUACAAAAUAUCUUGCACCUCCUAGAGAUAUAACUGGUGCUUGCCAAACAUCAGAAUGAACUAGUUCUAGGACAACUUUACUUCUAACUGUGAAACUGCUGAACUUCAAUCUGUGCUACUUACUAGUAACACAAUGCUCACAAAAGGGUAAUGAAACCAUUUUGAGCCCUGGAAAAAGCAAUUGUUCUGAGAGAUUUUUCAAACCACGUUCCGACAUGUGGCCAAGCUUACGUUGCCACAUCAUCGUUAAUUCUUUUGUUGAACUUGUUGAUGCGACAAACGCUUUUUCUUCUUGUAUUGUCUUUCCUUUAAAUAUGGACAAAUUUGUAGCUAUUUUUUCGCUUUUAUCACCACAAAUGCGCCUUUGAUUAUUUUCAUGACCCCAUCUUGUACAUGGGUCUUGCAGUCAAUGCUAUCUAAUUGUCCUAAAGACAAUAGAUUUUUUUCCAAGUCUUUUACAUGCCGCACCUCUUGAAUAUUUGCGAACUGCACCAUCAUAUAUUUUCAAUUUGAUGAUACCAAUGCCAGCGAUCUCCAAGGCAUAAUCAUUUCCCAUAAACAGAGAUCCUCCGGAGAUAGGUUCAUAUUGAUGGAACCAUUCUCACCUUGAUGUCAUAUACCAUGUAGCUACUGAGUCUAUAAGCCAGACAUUAGAAAACUGCUUUCUGCCUUCAACAAUUGUUGUUGCCUCGCCGUAUAAAAUUUCACCAUCAUCUAAUGUGCUUGUUACACAAUCCUGAGCUUUUGAUGUCUCAAGACCUCUUCAUUCUUUUUAAAACUCCUACAAUCCCUUUUUAAGUGCCAUUUCUUGCCACAGUAAUGACAUUUGUCAUUCUUCUUACUCAUGGAUUUUGAUCUAUUCUGAUUAUGACUCCCACUGGAGCGUCGUUCCGUUGAUCUCCCUCUCAUCAUCGUCAAAGCCUCCGCCUGAUGCGAACUUAUCGAUCUGUCCUCCUUGUUCUUGCGUCGACUUUUUUCUUCAAGAACUGCAGCUGCAACAUCAUCGAAGACUAGACUUUCAAGGUUGUUGGUUAAGUUGAUGAUGAUUUAAUCAUAUGAAUCUGGUAGGCUUUGAAAUAAGAACUCAGGACGUUCAUCUGCCUCUAUAUUAUGUCCAAUUGAUGUGGGCUGUGAAAAUAGAGUAGAGUGUUUAGGGUGUUGAUUUGAUCGAUCACUGCAGUUGACUCCAUCGUCCGAAAGGUAUAAAGCUUUCUCUUUAAGAAGAUUUUGUUAUGUAAUGAUUUUGUCUCAUACAGUUUCAUCAGCCUAUUCCAUAUUUCUUUGACCGUCUUUUUCUCUGUCACACUUGAUAGUAUUCCAUCAGCAAGUGCUAGGUGCAGAUUAGCAAUUGCAUUGCCAUCCAUCUUGUUCCACUUGCCAUCGUCUGUGAUCUCUGUGGGCCUCUGUCCGAUUGCCGUCAAGCAGUUAUCUUUUCUCGAGACUACUUUUAUUCUCAUUUUUCACGAUGAGAAAUUGUUCCCAUUGAACUUUUCAAUGUCAUACAUUGCCGUCAUUUUGUUCACCAAUACUAUGACUGAAAAUAGUGACGUGUAUGUAAAUAGUGAACGACGACCCUACAGAAAAACCUUGCUCUGAUACCAUUGUUAGGAACUCGUGGGUCAAGUUUGGCUUGCAAUGAAAAUGGAAUUGAGAAAAUACAAUAAAAAUGGACACAAAUACUUACGUGGUUUAUCCAAUUUUGGCUACCUCCACGGACAAGUAUAAGAGGAUUUUACGAUAGUAGGAGAAUUACAGUAACACUCUCUAAAUACAAGGAGAUAACAAACAAUUAAUCUCACUUGUAAUAAGAGAAAUUAGGUAAAAAAUACUUGGGAGAAAUACUAAGUUCGAAACACUUAGGAGAAACCAAUAUUUUUCUCUCUCUACUCACUACUUUCAAUUUCCUCUCAAUUUUUCUGCUUCAUUCCUCUUCGAUUUCAUCCUCUAUUUAUUGGAAGAUUUGCAACCCAUCAUAUUAAUUACACACCAAAAUGUCAACAAAAAUUUGCUGCCUUUCUCUUUAUAAUUUACGGCUACAGAUAGAAAAAUCUCAUCAAGUCCAAUCUUUAAAUUGAGCAUUGAAUGCAAAGGUGGCUGUGAAGAAAAUUGCUUGUCCCUUUAGUCAAAGAAGUGGCUUUAACAUCCGACAGUUGGUUCCUGAUUCAAAAUCGACUAGUUCAGACAUCAUAAGCAAUAACACAGACAACACGGAAAACUUCUCAACAUCAAUAAAAAUAUCAGCAAACAUUUCAGUCUUCAGAAAGAAAUCUUUGCAAAAAUGCUACUAAAAAAUCACCACCACACAAUUCAAACGACCUUGUAAAUCACUUUCUUGUUUCUUGCUAUCUAUGAAGGUGAUGCAUG
Molecule: long non-coding RNA, 2497 nt
Filed under: Olea europaea subsp. europaea
Lineage: Eukaryota; Viridiplantae; Streptophyta; Magnoliopsida; Lamiales; Oleaceae
Source: RNAcentral